AUUGAACGCUGGCGGCAUGCUUUACACAUGCAAGUCGGACGGCAGCACAGAGAAGCUUGCUUCUUGGGUGGGGAGUGGCGAACGGGUGAGUAAUAUAUCGGAACGUACCGAGUAAUGGGGGAUAACUAAUCGAAAGAUUAGCUAAUACCGCAUAUUCUCUGAGGAGGAAAGCAGGGGACCUUCGGGCCUUGCGUUAUUCGAGCGGCCGAUAUCUGAUUAGCUAGUUGGUGGGGUAAAGGCCUACCAAGGCGACGAUCAGUAGCGGGUCUGAGAGGAUGAUCCGCCACACUGGGACUGAGACACGGCCCAGACUCCUACGGGAGGCAGCAGUGGGGAAUUUUGGACAAUGGGCGCAAGCCUGAUCCAGCCAUGCCGCGUGUCUGAAGAAGGCCUUCGGGUUGUAAAGGACUUUUGUCAGGGAAGAAAAGGCUGUUGCUAAUAUCGACAGCUGAUGACGGUACCUGAAGAAUAAGCACCGGCUAACUACGUG
This 490-nucleotide ribosomal RNA is filed under the name uncultured bacterium. RNAcentral describes it as "partial 16S ribosomal RNA". It matches the Rfam family "Bacterial small subunit ribosomal RNA", at positions 30 to 507 of the family's 1533-position model. The record is from RNAcentral.